GUUAAGCGACUAAGCGUACACGGUGGAUGCCCUGGCAGUCAGAGGCGAUGAAGGACGUGCUAAUCUGCGAUAAGCGUCGGUAAGGUGAUAUGAACCGUUAUAACCGGCGAUUUCCGAAUGGGGAAACCCAGUGUGUUUCGACACACUAUCAUUAACUGAAUCCAUAGGUUAAUGAGGCGAACCGGGGGAACUGAAACAUCUAAGUACCCCGAGGAAAAGAAAUCAACCGAGAUUCCCCCAGUAGCGGCGAGCGAACGGGGAGCAGCCCAGAGCCUGAAUCAGUGUGUGUGUUAGUGGAAGCGUCUGGAAAGGCGCGCGAUACAGGGUGACAGCCCCGUACACAAAAAUGCACAUGCUGUGAGCUCGAUGAGUAGGGCGGGACACGUGGUAUCCUGUCUGAAUAUGGGGGGACCAUCCUCCAAGGCUAAAUACUCCUGACUGACCGAUAGUGAACCAGUACCGUGAGGGAAAGGCGAAAAGAACCCCGGCGAGGGGAGUGAAAAAGAACCUGAAACCGUGUACGUACAAGCAGUGGGAGCACGCUUAGGCGUGUGACUGCGUACCUUUUGUAUAAUGGGUCAGCGACUUAUAUUCUGUAGCAAGGUUAACCGAAUAGGGGAGCCGAAGGGAAACCGAGUCUUAACUGGGCGUUAAGUUGCAGGGUAUAGACCCGAAACCCGGUGAUCUAGCCAUGGGCAGGUUGAAGGUUGGGUAACACUAACUGGAGGACCGAACCGACUAAUGUUGAAAAAUUAGCGGAUGACUUGUGGCUGGGGGUGAAAGGCCAAUCAAACCGGGAGAUAGCUGGUUCUCCCCGAAAGCUAUUUAGGUAGCGCCUCGUGAAUUCAUCUCCGGGGGUAGAGCACUGUUUCGGCAAGGGGGUCAUCCCGACUUACCAACCCGAUGCAAAC
RNAcentral lists this ribosomal RNA (911 nucleotides) under Escherichia coli. RNAcentral describes it as "partial 23S ribosomal RNA". It matches the Rfam family "Bacterial large subunit ribosomal RNA", at positions 1 to 954 of the family's 2925-position model. Lineage: Bacteria; Pseudomonadati; Pseudomonadota; Gammaproteobacteria; Enterobacterales; Enterobacteriaceae. The record is from RNAcentral.